CCUACGGGUGGCUGCAGUGGGGAAUUUUGGACAAUGGGCGCAAGCCUGAUCCAGCCAUUCCGCGUGCAGGAUGAAGGCCUUCGGGUUGUAAACUGCUUUUGUACGGAACGAAAAGGCUCUUUCUAAUACAGGGGGCUCAUGACGGUACCGUAAGAAUAAGCACCGGCUAACUACGUGCCAGCAGCCGCGGUAAUACGUAGGGUGCGAGCGUUGUCCGGAAUCACUGGGCGUAAAGGGCGCGUAGGCGGCCCUGGCAGUCGGUGGUGAAAGCCCGUGGCUCAACUGCGGGUCGGCCACCGAUACUCCAGGGCUCGAGUUUGGUAGAGGCAGAUGGAAUUCCGGGUGUAGCGGUGGAAUGCGUAGAGAUCCGGAAGAACACCGGUGGCGAAGGCGGUCUGCUGGGCCAAGACUGACGCUGAGGCGCGACAGCGUGGGGAGCA
RNAcentral lists this ribosomal RNA (440 nucleotides) under uncultured bacterium. RNAcentral's name for it is "bacterial SSU rRNA". It matches the Rfam family "Bacterial small subunit ribosomal RNA", at positions 338 to 770 of the family's 1533-position model. The record is from RNAcentral.